Molecule: long non-coding RNA, 889 nt
Filed under: Capsicum annuum
Lineage: Eukaryota; Viridiplantae; Streptophyta; Magnoliopsida; Solanales; Solanaceae
Description: long non-coding RNA (CANN_LNC016086)
Source: RNAcentral
CUUGAACUUGUUGUCACAACUUACUUUAAUACUUUAACUUAAUGGAUAAUUAUUUACCUCUUAAAUAACUUUCGGAUGAAUUAUAUUACUCCCUUAAUGGCUGACGUGGCCAAAAAAAUGGAAGCGCGUUUUGAUGAAACAAAAGUAAGAAAAAAUGGGACCCACUUUUUAAUUUUCAACCAUUAUUUUUUUUCUUUUCCUUCUUCUUCCUCACACCCCACCACCCCCUUCUCUCCUCCUUCCUCACACCCCACCACCCCCUCUCUUCUCCUUCACUUCAUCAAUUUCUCCAAGCAAAAAGAAAAUUCGUUGAAUUCUCUAAAUUCACGGGUUUGGAAUUAACCACCUUCCUCUUCAUCAUCUCUUUAAAUUUCAUACCCACUUACUCUCCCCUCCCUCAUCAACCGCAUUUCCUUAAAGAAAAACAAAAAAGAAAAAACCUUCCUCCUUUCUUCCUUGCACCCUACCACCUUCCUUUUCAAUUCUGCAAUCCAAGUAAAAAAAACAAAAAGCAAUCAAAAAGACAAAAAAAAUGUAAAAGGAAAGAAAAAUCUAGAAUCAUUUACAAGUUUUCAAAUCGAAUUUCAAUUUCUCCACUCUCCAAGCUUCGAUUUGUAAUUAAAAACUAUUGUCGAUCGAUUCUCAUUGUGAAAAUGUGGAGGGAGUUUUCUUGAUAAUUCUAGUGGUUGUUAAUAACAGAGCUUUAAUGGAAAUCUUUAAAAAAAAAUUGAUUUUUGCAGGGGUAGGGGUGAGGAGUGGAUGGAUUUGACGGAAGGAGAGAAAGAAAGGGUGGGAUAGGGGGGAGGGAUGGGUGGUCUGAAAAAGAAAGAGGAGGAGAAAGAAACAGCAGGAAAGGGAGGAGGGGUUUGAAGAAGAAAGCUCGCAUAAG